RNAcentral lists this long non-coding RNA (1320 nucleotides) under Citrus x clementina. Its description in RNAcentral is "Citrus clementina (C. clementina) long non-coding RNA (CCLE_LNC000426)". The record is from RNAcentral. Lineage: Eukaryota; Viridiplantae; Streptophyta; Magnoliopsida; Sapindales; Rutaceae.
UAAAAAAUUUCUAAAAUAUAUAAAUUUCAAUCUAGUUAAAAAUUUUCAAAAUUCUUGCUUUGCAUCACAAUCUUUGAAAUAUGCCUUUUAUUUUUCAAAAGAAACAUGAAGAACCUACAAUUCUUUUUUUUUUUUUUUUAUAAAUGGCACAAUCAUGGAAAUUAUUUCAUAUCUAAGAAAAAUAAAAUCAUUCUUGCCAUUUUACAAAAACAACAUCGUCAAAUAAAUUGGAUUACAAUUGACUAAAAAGUACAUUUAUAUAAUUUUGAAUUAAAAAUUUAUGCAUUCGUAAUUUCAAGCUGCGGAGCAAGGAAACGAAAGUGAUGACGUACUAAGUACUACGAAUCCAGGUGGCGGGUUGAUAUCAAUUAUCAAGCUGAGAAGCAAGGACACGAAAGAGAUGAUGUGGCAGACUACCGUUUCUAUGUGGGACCCAUUUCUGUUCCCCAAAUAAUCACUCUUAUCAACUAUGUGCGCGUGGGUUCAACCUUCUUACGGCGCGAAUUUUCUUAAAUUUUAAUAAGGAUUGAUAUUUCUCCAUGUACUUAUGCAACGAUUUUUAAAUUUGGCAUUAUUUUACAAUACAGAUUUUAGACGAAUUUUUUUACUAUUGCGAGAAAAACUUUCAGAUUGGGGGUGCCAUUUCGUAAAAUCAUGUCAUGGCUUAUUUUCACGGUGUCAAAUUUAAGUAAAUAUAAAUACGAUACAUUUAUUAAUCGUGUUCGAACUUCAAAAUAUGAAUAGAACUGUUCAUUAAUUGUUUUAUUUAUAUUGAUAUGUUUACACAUUUAAAACAAAAAAAAUUAAAAUAACAAAUAUAUCAAUAUUAAUUGUAAAAAUAAGUGAUAAAUAAGUUAGUAUGACAUAAAUAUAACAUAAAUAAGUUUUAUAACACAAUAUGAAUACAACAAGAAUUAUUAAUUUAGUGUUCAGUAUAUACAUUAGUUUUUUUUUAAUAUUCUAUAUAUUAAUUGGUAUUUGUGUCAUAAAUGUGUAAUCAUUCUAAGUUAGUUCAACUAGAAUACGAAAUAGUUACAUAUCAUGUCAUUUCUUAUCAACUCAUUUAAUAAUCCUAUCAAUAUUUGUAACAUGAAUAUGGAAAAGUGUAGUAUCCGUAUCAUAACCCAUUUUACUACCUCCAUCUCAUGCUGCACUAUAAAAUGUAUGCUUUAAAUUCCUAAUAGAUUUUAAAUUCUAAUGUGUUCCGUAGAUACUAACAAUUUCUCAAAAACAAAAUAGGUCCAUAUGAUAUUUUAUUUUUGGGAAAUUAUCAUUGCACUACCUUUAUUUUGCCUUAUGUUCAUCCAACCACUACAAAAU